Molecule: non-coding RNA, 240 nt
Organism: Pelobates cultripes (western spadefoot toad)
Lineage: Eukaryota; Metazoa; Chordata; Amphibia; Anura; Pelobatidae
Source: the annotation of a GenBank genome assembly
GUUCGCUAUCUUAUUUUGCCACCUUCAAUUUAGGCUAUCUCACUAUACCAUCAAACUACGCCUGACUGUCAUCAAACAUCACGUGGUUCUCUACGUUCCAAUAAAGCCAUUUUCCUACAUCCUAUCCAAUCUGGCUAUACUUAAGGAUAUCCAAACCUGUCUAAUGUGCUAGAUUCAGCCACCUUAAAAUCCCUCACUAACUCUGAAACUGCUAUUAGCUGACCUUUUACGACUUCCUGA